Molecule: ribosomal RNA, 1484 nt
Filed under: metagenome
Description: bacterial SSU rRNA
Rfam family: Bacterial small subunit ribosomal RNA
Source: RNAcentral
AGAGUUUGAUCCUGGCUCAGGAUGAACGCUGGCGGCGUGCUUAACACAUGCAAGUCGAACGAAGCAUUUGCGACAGAUUUCUUCAGAUUGAAGUUGCUUAUGACUGAGUGGCGGACGGGUGAGUAACGCGUGGGUAACCUGCCUCACACAGGGGGAUAGCAGUUGGAAACGGCUGAUAAUACCGCAUAAGCGCACAGUACCGCAUGGUACAGUGUGAAAAACUCCGGUGGUGUGAGAUGGACCCGCGUCUGAUUAGCUUGUUGGCAGGGUAACGGCCUACCAAGGCAACGAUCAGUAGCCGACCUGAGAGGGUGACCGGCCACAUUGGGACUGAGACACGGCCCAGACUCCUACGGGAGGCAGCAGUGGGGAAUAUUGCACAAUGGAGGAAACUCUGAUGCAGCGACGCCGCGUGAGUGAAGAAGUAAUUCGUUAUGUAAAGCUCUAUCAGCAGGGAAGAUAGUGACGGUACCUGACUAAGAAGCUCCGGCUAAAUACGUGCCAGCAGCCGCGGUAAUACGUAUGGAGCAAGCGUUAUCCGGAUUUACUGGGUGUAAAGGGAGUGUAGGUGGCAUCACAAGUCAGAAGUGAAAGCCCGGGGCUCAACCCCGGGACUGCUUUUGAAACUGUGGAGCUGGAGUGCAGGAGAGGCAAGUGGAAUUCCUAGUGUAGCGGUGAAAUGCGUAGAUAUUAGGAGGAACACCAGUGGCGAAGGCGGCUUGCUGGACUGUAACUGACACUGAGGCUCGAAAGCGUGGGGAGCAAACAGGAUUAGAUACCCUGGUAGUCCACACUGUAAACGAUGAUUACUAGGUGUUGGAGGAUUGACCCCUUCAGUGCCGCAGUUAACACAAUAAGUAAUCCACCUGGGGAGUACGACCGCAAGGUUGAAACUCAAAGGAAUUGACGGGGGCCCGCACAAGCAGUGGAGUAUGUGGUUUAAUUCGACGCAACGCGAAGAACCUUACCAAGUCUUGACAUCCUGCGACGGUGCUGGAAACAGUACUUUCCUUCGGGACGCAGAGACAGGUGGUGCAUGGUUGUCGUCAGCUCGUGUCGUGAGAUGUUGGGUUAAGUCCCGCAACGAGCGCAACCCUCAUGGUCAGUUACUACGCAAGAGGACUCUGGCCAGACUGCCGUUGACAAAACGGAGGAAGGUGGGGAUGACGUCAAAUCAUCAUGCCCUUUAUGACUUGGGCUACACACGUACUACAAUGGCGUUAAACAAAGAGAAGCAAGACCGCGAGGUGGAGCAAAACUCAGAAACAACGUCCCAGUUCGGACUGCAGGCUGCAACUCGCCAGCACGAAGUCGGAAUUGCUAGUAAUCGCAGAUCAGCAUGCUGCGGUGAAUACGUUCCCGGGCCUUGUACACACCGCCCGUCACACCAUGAGAGCCGGGGGGACCCGAAGUCGGUAGUCUAACCGCAAGGAGGACGCCGCCGAAGGUAAAACUGGUGAUUGGGGUGAAGUCGUAACAAGGUA